RNAcentral lists this ribosomal RNA (300 nucleotides) under uncultured Thermocladium sp. RNAcentral's name for it is "bacterial SSU rRNA". The stretch from base 53 to 300 matches the Rfam family "Bacterial small subunit ribosomal RNA", at positions 547 to 795 of the family's 1533-position model. The record is from RNAcentral. Lineage: Archaea; Thermoproteati; Thermoproteota; Thermoprotei; Thermoproteales; Thermoproteaceae.
GGCGGAGUUGGUGCGGGAGAGCGGGGUAAGGGGGAGGGGGCAAGCGGGUGUGGGAAUUACUAUGGGUAAAGAUAACGUAGGCGAAUCAUGAAGUGGGGGGUGAAAUCCCGGGGAUCAAGCGUGGCACUGGCUUCAAGACUAUGGGUCUGUAGGUCGAGAGAGGUGAGUGGAAAUCCGAGUGUAGAGGUGAAAUUCGUAGAUAUUCGGAGGAACACCAGGGGCGAAGGCGGCUCACUGGCUCGAUACUGACGCUGAGGUGCGAAAGCGUGGGGAGCAAACAGGAUUAGAUACCCGGUAGUC